GAUGAACGCUAGCGACAGGCUUAACACAUGCAAGUCGAGGGGCAGCAUAAAAGUAGCAAUACUUUGGUGGCGACCGGCGCACGGGUGAGUAACGCGUAUGCAACCUACCUAUCAGAGGGGGAUAACCCGGCGAAAGUCGGACUAAUACCGCAUAAAACAGGGGCACCGCAUGGUGAUAUUUGUUAAAAAUUUAUUGCUGAUAGAUGGGCAUGCGUUCCAUUAGGUAGUUGGAGAGGUAACGGCUCACCAAGCCCACGAUGGAUAGGGGAACUGAGAGGUUGGUCCCCCACACUGGUACUGAGACACGGACCAGACUCCUACGGGAGGCUG
Molecule: ribosomal RNA, 330 nt
Filed under: uncultured Bacteroidota bacterium
Lineage: Bacteria; Pseudomonadati; Bacteroidota
Description: bacterial SSU rRNA
Rfam family: Bacterial small subunit ribosomal RNA
Source: RNAcentral